CAGGGCAGUAAGUGUCCCGAGUGGUUGCUAUUUUUCACACUAAGGAACUUAGCGCCUGAUGGUCCUGGCUUGGACAUAUAUAGAUGGAGUUCCCAUUGCCAUGCAUUAUACGGGUGACAGACUACAACGGUUGUUAAAACGGAGUUAAAAAUCAUCAUUUGUGUUCUACUGAUGAAACAAAGUCACCUACAUCUUGGAUGCCCUGGGGUCCGGGUUGAACGUGAAGUGGAUUUACUUUCAGGCGGCAUGUGGCGUGAGAGUCUGAGGUCAGCUGUCUCCUGCUACCCCUCUGGCAAGGUCACAGCAGCCAGACUUCCGUACUGAUAUGCCUGACCAUUGGAGCAACCAUCCAUAAUCUAAAGAACUUGAGGAAGAGGCCAAAAACCUGUCAGUACGACACUGUGCUUCAAGCUGUGGUGCUGAGGAUGCUAUGGGGAACAAACCGAGGGAACCUAAAAGAGUGAACAAGAUAUUUUGAAAACAAGUUUUGAGUUAUAGUCUUCGAUUUGUACCUGGUAAUGUUUUGUUGUCGUUAAGUCUUUGUUUACAGAUAUUAUAUCUGAAAAAUAUUUCUGUUUUUAUGUGUAUGUCAAAUGUCCGUUAAAUGAAUCUUAAUUUCUGAACAUAUUAUGCAUUUAAAAUAAAUGUAAAGUAUUCAGUUAAAAUUAAUUUGACGUACAAACUUUGAAAACAAAAUUCAUGUAUUUAUUAUACAGUUUGGUAAAUGGAAAAGCAACUAUUUCAUUGGCAUUCAUUUUAUACUGUGAAGCUUUUUUGAAUGAAUAGAAUUUAAACCAAUUUAUUAAAUAUUAGUUUUGCCAGGAAUUUAUUUAUUUCAAGCAAAUAUGUGAGCAUGUUAAUGUAAUUGUAAAAAGGUAUGAUAAUACAAUGUGUAAUGUCAAAAAUGUUUUAAAUUAAAUGGAAAUAGCUAUUUUUAUUAGUCAUAUCAGACUUUUGGUCUAUAUAUAAAGCCGAGAGGAAAAAAAAAAAAAAAAAAAAAAAGAUGUGCACGUGUAAAUCAUUUAUCAAAUAAUAAAUACUGCAAAAUUCCAUAGAAAAAAUAAGAAAUGUCAGUUUUGAUUUCAUAUUGGUUUUAAGUAAUAAUUUAUCGAGACUCUAAAUAAAUAAUUUAUUGAGACUGUUAUUGACUCACUCUUAAAACCACAAUGAGACAAAAUGAUACUCCAUUGUCUCUGAAAUACGUGUGUAAAGCACAUCCAGGCUAGCACAGUGGCUCUCUUGAGACUCUGCUCUGACCCCUCUCUCACUCUUUUUACCUCACUGUCACAACUGACAGGCUUCUCCUCUUUCCAAGCAGCAAAACAGUGACACUGACUCUGUUCUGUCAAUUAUUUAUGUCUAAGUGCCCAGCCUUGAGUCGUAUGCCCUCUCCUCCCAUUGCACACUGUCUGGAGUUCAGUUUCUGAGAGACCCCUCCAUUCCAUUCAGCCUUCUGCACUUUGGCUGAUAAAAUUCAGUUGUUAUUUUUGAGAUGCUUUUACUUAUGCAGUAAGCCAUGAGAGGCUGUUCUUUACAGCAAUUUUGCCACAGGUAAAGGCUGUUCUUAGGCAUGACCUCAUGUUUCUAAAAUCUCCUCAAUUGAUACUCGAGUGGCUUAUUAUUAAACUUUUUUAAAUCAUGUAAAGUCACUUGUGAUGGUGACUGCAAAUAGUUAACAAUGGAAUCAAUAACUGAAACAAUCGGUACUGUACAAAGCACUAAAUGACUUGACCUGACAACUGACCUUAUAAAUCUUACCAUGGCAAAUAUAUUUUAUAAAAUUGUAUGUAGAAUUACUGUAGAAUUUACGCUAUGAAAAUAAUACAAAAGCAAUAAGGAAUCUUGUUUUAUAGUUAAGGCUGUGAAAUUACAAAAUCCCUUCUCAAACAGAGGUCAAGUCGUAAACAAGUUAACUCGCAUUAUGCGUGUUUUGAAGAUAAUUAAGUUAUGUGCGUGUUUUUAAGAUAAUUGGGUUGUGUUAAAGUAUUUGGUUUGGAUUACAAUGGUCCAAAAUUUUUGUAAACAAGGUUAAUUAAAAGUAGGAUAUUCUUAACCAGACACUUGCUUUUUGUAAGUAUUUGCUAUCAGAGGUGUAAAGUACUUGAGUAAAUGUAAUUAGUUACUGUACUUAAGUAUCUUUUUGGCUACUUUGUAGUUGUACUGAGUAUCAAAGAUAUUGGCAACUUUUACUCUAUACU
Molecule: long non-coding RNA, 2198 nt
Organism: Ctenopharyngodon idella (grass carp)
Lineage: Eukaryota; Metazoa; Chordata; Actinopteri; Cypriniformes; Xenocyprididae
Exons: 3
Source: RefSeq, a predicted model, not a curated record